UGGGGAAUAUUGCACAAUGGGGGAAACCCUGAUGCAGCGACGCCGCGUGAACGAAGAAGGUAUUCGUAUCGUAAAGUUCUGUCCUAUGGGAAGAUAAUGACAGUACCAUAGAAGAAAGCUCCGGCUAAAUACGUGCCAGCAGCCGCGGUAAUACGUAUGGAGCGAGCGUUGUCCGGAAUUAUUGGGCGUAAAGGGUACGCAGGCGGUUUAAUAAGUCGAAUGUUAAAGAUCGGGGCUCAACCCCGUAAAGCAUUGGAAACUGAUAAACUUGAGUAGUGGAGAGGAAAGUGGAAUUCCUAGUGUAGUGGGGAAAUACGUAGAUAUAAGGAGAAAUACCAGUAGCGAAAGCGACUUUCUGGACACAAACUAACGCUGAGGUACGAAAGCGUGGGGAGCAAACAGG
RNAcentral lists this ribosomal RNA (403 nucleotides) under bacterium. RNAcentral's name for it is "partial 16S ribosomal RNA". It matches the Rfam family "Bacterial small subunit ribosomal RNA", at positions 355 to 776 of the family's 1533-position model. The record is from RNAcentral.